RNAcentral lists this transfer RNA (90 nucleotides) under Rubrivivax sp. RNAcentral's name for it is "tRNA-Leu". It matches the Rfam family "tRNA". From Rfam's summary of the family: Transfer RNA (tRNA) molecules are approximately 80 nucleotides in length. The record is from RNAcentral. Lineage: Bacteria; Pseudomonadati; Pseudomonadota; Betaproteobacteria; Burkholderiales; Sphaerotilaceae.
GCCCGGAUGGCGAAAUCGGUAGACGCAGCGGACUUAAAAUCCGCGGCCCCGAACAGGGGUAUACGGGUUCGAGUCCCGUUCCGGGCACCA